RNAcentral lists this ribosomal RNA (460 nucleotides) under uncultured bacterium. RNAcentral describes it as "partial 16S ribosomal RNA". It matches the Rfam family "Bacterial small subunit ribosomal RNA", at positions 338 to 795 of the family's 1533-position model. The record is from RNAcentral.
CCUACGGGAGGCAGCAGUGAGGAAUAUUGGUCAAUGGACGAGAGUCUGGACCAGCCAAGUAGCGUGAAGGAUGACUGCCCUAUGGGUUGUAAACUUCUUUUAUAAAGGAAUAAAACGCGGCACGUGUGCCUUUUUGCAUGUACUUUAUGAAUAAGGAUCGGCUAACUCCGUGCCAGCAGCCGCGGUAAUACGGAGGAUCCGAGCGUUAUCCGGAUUUAUUGGGUUUAAAGGGAGCGUAGAUGGGUUGUUAAGUCAGUUGUGAAAGUUUGCGGCUCAACCGUAAAAUUGCAAUUGAUACUGGCAGUCGUGGGUACAGUUGAGGUAGGCGGAAUUCGUGGUGUAGCGGUGAAAUGCUUAGAUAUCACGAAGAACUCCGAUUGCGAAGGCAGCUUACUAAACUGCCACUGACAUUGAUGCUCGAAAGUGUGGGUAUCAAACAGGAUUAGAUACCCUUGUAGUC